CCCUCACGGUUUUGUUCCGCGUCAGCCCCAUCCCCACCCGGCCACCCCACGACCCACCGAAGCGGUUUCUCCUCCCCAGCUCGUGGUUAGUUUUCCCAACGCUGCUCCACCGGCCUGCUCGCGAUCUGUCCGCCCUUCCUCCUGGCGAUGACCCCAGGACUGGCACCGCCGGUGAAUCUCUACGUGCCCCCGCGGUCAAGGCGAUGCCCUCCCGUUCCCGUCGCUGCUCACUCCUCCCAUCGCCGGUUUUCCCGACGCCACUCCGCCGCCCAGCUCACGAAGCGUUGGACGGACAGUAGGGAUCUAAUCUUCUCCGCGACAGCUUGAUAUUCCUCCCGUGUAGAUGCUCCAGCGAGUCAUGUGCCCCAUCGAGCUCCUCGCCCUGCGCAAGUUGCUCCUAGCACAUAUCUCAUUUAAUGUGUACCUGCGCUUCUAUAUGCUUAGUCGUUCACAUAUCACAAAUCUGCUGGAGAGGGAUCACAUCUGAAAAUGAAUUGUUUUGUGCAGGAAGUUGGACACCAGGACUGCUUGCUGUAAAUUGCACAUGCUGGAGUUGCUUGCUUGAUGGAGAUGGCGCGUGCACAGACUUUUUUUUAGGGAGAAUAGAGCUUCGUGCACAGAUAUUCGUUUGCCAAUCUCAAACAAUCCUUUUCUGUACAUAAAUCAAUCAGCCGUAUGAGGGGCACCAGAACAUGGAGUACAAACGACGGAAUUAGUUUGCUUUGGAUCGUAAAUACUGAAUUUCACAACAUCGAUGAAUGACUGGAGCAUGUGCAUGCAA
Long non-coding RNA from Panicum virgatum (switchgrass), 781 nucleotides. RefSeq lists it as uncharacterized. Lineage: Eukaryota; Viridiplantae; Streptophyta; Magnoliopsida; Poales; Poaceae. The record is from RefSeq and is a predicted model, not a curated record. The transcript is spliced from 2 exons.